Molecule: long non-coding RNA, 2380 nt
Organism: Homo sapiens (human)
Lineage: Eukaryota; Metazoa; Chordata; Mammalia; Primates; Hominidae
Gene: TNS2-AS1
Product: TNS2 antisense RNA 1
Source: Ensembl
ACACUCACAAAGAGCCGAGGGGAGAGAGGGUGCGCAGACGGCCAGCCGGGCCGCGCCAGGGACAUACUGGAGACAGGAAGUGGCUGAGAGGGGGAGAGAGUUGGAGAGAGACGGCCGCGGAGGACACGGGGACGGGAAAGUCUGAGAGACGGGGAGAGCCUGACCCGGCGGGACACAGGCAGAAAGAAACACGCGAGCCAGACAGACGCAGAAGAAACGUGCCUGGUACUGGAUAGGAACUUCAUGGAAUGGAGCUAAUGGGCCGUAGGGCAGGUUUGAGUCGUGCCACCCUGGAGCAGAAGGUGGAGGGUAGGGAUAAGAACUUCCGAGAAGUCACCACCAAUCAAGAGCUGAUUCAGAAGAGCAGAGGGACUCAGUGAAGUUCCAGAACUGGCCUGAUAGCAGCCACUACAUGAUUAAGAAAAAAACAAGCAGCUUUGUUGUAAAAAAGAUUGGCUUCAUGGUUUUUAUAAUCAUGAAUUUCUCCUCCAUGUUCCAAUUGUCACCUGAUUUUUAAUCCAAGAAUAUCAAACUUGAUGUACCCCUUUGUUUAACUGAAGGUUGCUUUCUCACUUGGUAUCCCUUUCUUUCAAAAUUUAACUUUCAGGAAAUAAAGGUAACCAGUUUGCUAUGAAUGUUAACACAUAGCCUUCUGGACACAAUUAGAACCUGAAGUAUUACGGUCUCAAUGUGCAAACCAGAUGAACCCGGCUAAAAUAAUCAAAGUUGACCACGAACAUGGUAUUUUCUGUAUCUCUCAAGUGACUUAAUAUUAAUCCAGCUCCAAAAGUAUUGUUUAUGAUCAACCAGAUCACAUUUUGAAUCCAUCCUACGCUUUUUUUUUUUUUUUUGAGACGGAGUCUCGCUUUGUCAUACAGGCUGGAGUGCAGUGGCGCGAUCUCAGUUCACUGCAACCUCCGCCUCCCAGGUUCAAGCAAUUUCUCCUGCCUCAGCCUCCCAAGUGGCUGGGACUACAGGCGCGUGCCACCACGCCAGGCUAAUUUUUUUUUUUUUUUUAGUUUCACAGUGUUAGCCAGGAUGGUCUUGAUCUCCUGACCUCGUGAUUAGCCUCCCAAAGUGCUGGGAUUACAGACGUGAGCCAACGCGCCCGGCCUGCUUUUUCUUUUUUCUUUUUUUGCAGUGGUGCAAUCGUGGCUCACUGCAGCUUUGACCUUUUGGGCUCAAGCAAUUCUCCCACUGUAGCCUCUUGAGUAGCUGGGACUAUAGGCAUGCACCACCAUGCCCAGCUAAUUUUAAAAUUUUUUGUAGAGGCAGGGGUCUUGCUACACUGCCCAGAUUGGUCUUCAACUCCUGGCCUCAAGUGGUCCACCCGUCUCAGCCUUCCAAAGUGCUGGGAUUAGAUGUGAGCCACUGCACUUGGCCUUAUUCCACAGCUUUCAAAGAAUACGGUUACAGAGAGGUUGGGUCUCAUAGCACUUUUAUUGCUGCAGCUCAUAUGCAAAGGUUUUUUUUUUUUUUUAGAGGGAGUCUCACUCUUGUCCAGGCUGGAGUGCAGUGGCGCCAUCUUGGCUCACUAUAACCUCUGCCUCCCAGGUUCAAGUGAUUCUCCUGCCUCAGCCUCCUGAGUAACUGGGAUUACAGGCAUGUGCCACCAAGCCUGGCUAAUUUUUGUAUUUUUAGUAGAGAUGGGGUUUCACCAUGUUGGCCAGGCUGGUCUCAAACUCCUGACCCCAAAUGAUCCACCCACCUCGGCCUCCCAAAAUGCUGCGAUUACAGGCAUGAGCCACUGUGCCCAGCCUCAUAUGCAAAGAUCUAUGGGAGAUUUUAAUAAGCGAACACGAGUAAGACAUGAGGUAAACCACUUACAGUGCGUGGGCUUAUUUUAGACUUUUUCAUAUCAUUUAAUUCAAAAAUAGUGUCUGGGAUUAAUAUGAUGCUAGCUACAGAUCCUUACCCUCAUGGGGCUUAAUCUAGUACCAUCAGCUAAUAUCCAAUUAUUAACCUGUCCUUCCACUGGGAGGAUAAAAACAGAACUGGUGGUCAGUACAAUAAGGUCAAGUUCAACAAAAGAACAUUAACAAUCUGAAUAAGGUAUCCCUUUCCUCUUUGUUCUAUAUACGUAUCUUCUACCAAAACAGCAGAAUGUGGAAUUAAUCUGCCCUUUAGUCCGAUUUGGCUUAAAUCAACUUUGUAGAUCACAGUUUCUCAACUCUCACCCCUUGACUCCUUUGACAAACAAGUUUCUUCUUUAACGUUAUUUGAAAUUUCCAAACAAAUUAAAUAUCAUGACUAAAAAAUAUUAAAAGCACUUUUAAAUCUUAGAAUGUCUUUUCAAAUCACAAGUCUCCCCCUCCUCUGAUUGCCACCCACUCCCAGGCCCUCUGGUUAAGAAAUUACUGUUGGGUGUGGUGGCUCACGC